AAACAAACUCGCAUCGUAAACAAACAUGGCAGCCACGAAGAAAAUCGAAGAGGCUCUUGCUCAUAUUAGGGAGGCCGAAAAGAGCCUUAAAACGAGUCUCUUGAAGUGGAAGCCAGAUUACGAUGUGGCUGCAGAUGAAUACAAUGCAGCAGCCACGUGUUACAAGACAGCCAAGCAGUUCACUCAGUGCCGGGAGUGUUUGCUCAAGGCGGUGGAGAACUACAAGCUCAACCGAUCAUUCUUCUCAGCUGGGAAGUGUCUAGACCAGGCAGCUCUCAUCAGUAAGGAGCUCGGAGACUUGGAAUCCAUCUUUACCCUGUGCCAACGAGCAGCUUGUAUGUACCGGGAGCACGGCAUUCCUGACACUGCCGCUCUGUCACUGGAGAAGGGCGCCAAGAUGAUAGAUACCCAGCUGCCAGAAAAAGCCCUCAUCAUGUUUGAGCAUGCCGUCGACAUUGUGAUAACUGAGGACCGGCCCAGGCAGGCAGCGGAGUACCAGAGCCGUGUGUCUCGCCUCAACGUCAAGAUGCAAAAGUAUGAUGCUGCAACAGAUGCCAUCAGGAGAGAAAUCUGCUACCACCAAGCUGGAGAGAAUCAGCCUGCCAUUGGGAGGCUCACCGUGGCCCUGGUAUUGGUGCAGCUGGCCCGGGGUGACACUGUGGCAGCAGAGAAAGCCUUCAGAGAGUGGGGAUCCUACUGUGAGAAUGAAGAGGUACAAACCUUGGAGAUGCUGAUCCAGGCCUUUGAUGAGGAGGAUGGAGACAUGGCAGUGAAGGUCCUGAAUAGCCCCUUCAUCAAACAUAUGGAUGUGGAGUAUGCCAAGCUGGCUCGCAGUCUGCCUGUCCCCAAGUGCAGCCAGGAGACCAAGAAGCCAGGAGUGACUGACACCUACCCACCCUACACCUCCAGCUCUGGGGCUGAUGUGGAUGCCCUUGCUAAAGGUGUUGGUAGCACUUCAAUUAGUCAGAAUGAUGAGGAGCUGGACUUGUGCUGAGUUGACCUGGAGGGGUAUGUGUGGCAUCACUUCAUAGGCUGCAUUGCUGGCAGGAUGGUGUGCAUGAUAGCAAAGAUAAGCCAGCAGGGAGCCAAGCUCAACAUAAUCAUUCAGCUAAGUUUUCCAUAAAUCAGUAAUGAGAGCAACAUGACACAAAUCAGUGCUGGAGAAGGUGGAGUUCCAAGCACCAAGGAGGGUGGAGGGCAACUUGGUUGCUCAUAGUUAAGAAGUUUUGAGGUUAGCCUGAGCUGUUUUCUCAUUCUAUGCCAUCAGUAGUUUGAUAUGAAAUUAAAUUUUCAUCCUCAACAGUUUUUGAACUGACAAUCUUAUUUUCAGUACUUUGGAUGCUGAGGCACAAUCUUUUCAACAUUGCUCCAGCAACUAUUCAACUGUGUGAUAUUCCCAAAAGUUUAUACACUCUCUUUCUGAGCUUUGGAAAAAUUAUGCUCUGUCUAUGCCAGAAAACAGUGCUUGGGAGAGCAGAGUUGAGUAA
Molecule: RNA transcript, 1487 nt
Organism: Portunus trituberculatus (swimming crab)
Lineage: Eukaryota; Metazoa; Arthropoda; Malacostraca; Decapoda; Portunidae
Gene: gammaSnap1
Gene name: gamma-soluble NSF attachment protein-like
Exons: 12
Source: RefSeq, a predicted model, not a curated record